CAGUAACCUGCUUAUCUACUCAAAGGUCCAGCGUCUUCUCUUGGAGCCAAAGAAUGAUCUGAGGGAACAUGUAAGCCAUAUUUCUGCUCAACUUAAUGCUGAAGUUAGAGGUAAGUAAAUUCAGAUGCGAAGUGUGGGCUGAGCUAAAAUUACCCAGUGAUGAAACAUUCACAUGUCUUACCUCCUGUCGUAGCCCCAGAGCCUGUAAAGGUGAACCCACUGGGGCUGGCUGGGGGAGAAGAGGAAAGUUUGUUCCAGAAGGAACUGUCUGAGGGAUCAUAAGGAUUUCUAAACAUGG
Pteronotus mesoamericanus is the source of this 298-nucleotide long non-coding RNA. RefSeq lists it as uncharacterized. The transcript has 3 exons. NCBI's taxonomy places the organism in Eukaryota, Metazoa, Chordata, Mammalia, Chiroptera, Mormoopidae. The record is from RefSeq and is a predicted model, not a curated record.